UGGGAAACGAUGUGGGAAGGCUCAGACAGCCAGGAUGUUGGCUUAGAAGCAGCCAUCAUUUAAAGAAAGCGUAAUAGCUCACUGGUCGAGUCGGCCUGCGCGGAAGAUGUAACGGGGCUAAGUAGUAAACCGAAGCUGCGGCAAUAUACUUUUGUAUAUUGGGUAGGGGAGCGUUCUGUAAGCGGUUGAAGGUGUGUGGUAACGCAUGCUGGACGUAUCAGAAGUGCGAAUGCUGACAUGAGUAACGAUAAAGGGGGUGAAAAACCUCCUCGCCGGAAGACCAAGGGUUCCUGUCCAACGUUAAUCGGGGCAGGGUAAGUCGACCCCUAAGGCGAGGCCGAAAGGCGUAGUCGAUGGGAAACGGGUUAAUAUUCCCGUACUUCUUACAAUUGCGAUGGGGGGACGGAGAAGGCUAGGUGGGCCUGGCGACGGUUGUCCAGGUUCAAGUGCGUAGGCUUAAGAGUUAGGUAAAUCCGGCUCUUUCUAAGGCUGAGACACGACGUCGAGC
Molecule: ribosomal RNA, 508 nt
Filed under: Vibrio parahaemolyticus
Lineage: Bacteria; Pseudomonadati; Pseudomonadota; Gammaproteobacteria; Vibrionales; Vibrionaceae
Description: partial 23S ribosomal RNA
Rfam family: Bacterial large subunit ribosomal RNA
Source: RNAcentral